CAUGGAUGUACUGUAUGGAUGUAUUACGAGAACCAUUAAGUCAUAAAGUUGUCCUGCAUGCUGCUCUGUGGUCAGUCCCACCGGGAAAGGUUUACUAAGGUUCUACCAACCACAACCCUCUAUUGUUUGCUUGAGUUAUCCUAUGAAGUGUGGGUUCUGCGGUUUUCUGAGCUCAAGUCAAGAAGAUCUAUUGAGGCACCAUAGACUACGACACAGAAGAGGAUCUCACUGGCCCUGUAUCUACAGUGACUGUGUGUGUACCUUCAAAACACCUGGCGAGUUAAAAUCCCACCUUACCAGAUCA
Molecule: long non-coding RNA, 304 nt
Organism: Perca fluviatilis (European perch)
Lineage: Eukaryota; Metazoa; Chordata; Actinopteri; Perciformes; Percidae
Exons: 3
Source: RefSeq, a predicted model, not a curated record